Molecule: long non-coding RNA, 153 nt
Organism: Micropterus salmoides (largemouth bass)
Lineage: Eukaryota; Metazoa; Chordata; Actinopteri; Centrarchiformes; Centrarchidae
Exons: 2
Source: RefSeq, a predicted model, not a curated record
UUCUUGGGACGACCCAGGCCCUACGGGUGAGCCAGGCUGUUGGGGCGACCCAGGCCCCAGGGGCAAAGAAGGUUCUUGGGGUGAGCCAGGCUGUUGCAGGGAAGAUGGCCCUUGCGGUGAGCCGGGCCCUAGGGGCGAGCCAGGCUGUUGCGG